Molecule: ribosomal RNA, 253 nt
Filed under: uncultured bacterium
Lineage: Bacteria
Description: partial 16S ribosomal RNA
Rfam family: Bacterial small subunit ribosomal RNA
Source: RNAcentral
UACGGGGGGGGCAAGCGUUGUUCGGAAUUAUUGGGCGUAAAGGGCUCGUAGGCGGUUUGUCGCGUCGGGAGUGAAAACCUUGGGCUUAACUCAGGGCUUGCUUUCGAUACGGGCAGACUAGAGGUAUGCAGGGGAGAACGGAAUUCCUGGUGUAGAGGUGAAAUUCGUAGAUAUCGGGAGGAACACCGGUGGCGAAGGCGGCGACCUGGGUCGAGACUGACGCUGAGGCGCGAAAGCGUGGGGAGCAAACAGG